UGGGGAAUUUUGGACAAUGGGGGAAACCCUGAUCCAGCCAUCCCGCGUGUGCGAUGAAGGCCUUCGGGUUGUAAAGCACUUUUGGCAGGAAAGAAACGUCGCGGGUUAAUACCCCGCGAAACUGACGGUACCUGCAGAAUAAGCACCGGCUAACUACGUGCCAGCAGCCGCGGUAAUACGUAGGGUGCAAGCGUUAAUCGGAAUUACUGGGCGUAAAGCGUGCGCAGGCGGUUCGGAAAGAAAGAUGUGAAAUCCCAGAGCUUAACUUUGGAACUGCAUUUUUAACUACCGGGCUAGAGUGUGUCAGAGGGAGGUGGAAUUCCGCGUGUAGCAGUGAAAUGCGUAGAUAUGCGGAGGAACACCGAUGGCGAAGGCAGCCUCCUGGGAUAACACUGGCGCUCAUGCACGAAAGCGUGGGGAGCAAACAGGAUUAGAUACCCUGGUAGUCACGCCCUAAACGAUGUCAACUAGCUGUUGGGGCCUUCGGGCCUUGGUAGCGCAGCUAACGCGUGAAGUUGACCGCCUGGGGAGUACGGUCGCAAGAUUAAAACUCAAAUGAAUUGACGGGGUCAUAGCUGUUUCCU
Molecule: ribosomal RNA, 584 nt
Filed under: uncultured bacterium
Lineage: Bacteria
Description: partial 16S ribosomal RNA
Rfam family: Bacterial small subunit ribosomal RNA
Source: RNAcentral